Molecule: long non-coding RNA, 696 nt
Filed under: Notechis scutatus (mainland tiger snake)
Lineage: Eukaryota; Metazoa; Chordata; Lepidosauria; Squamata; Elapidae
Description: lncRNA (ENSNSUG00000000514.1)
Source: RNAcentral
AGGAAGUAAAGCACCCUGGAGGCAAGAGGGCUGCAGUGCUGGCCUUGAGAGUAGCCAGAAAGGGAUGGUGGAAUGCUUGCAGGACGUCAUGUUCCCUUCCAUUCAGGAGGAGAAGGGGAAGCCUUGGAGGCCGCAGGAGGAGGAAAGGCCUGUUCCUUUAGCUCCACCAUGCUCUUCUCUCUUGCCUGUGGAACAGCAGCGGAGCCAACUUACAACAUUUCUCCGUUUGGUGUAUGAAGACUACCAGGAGAAAAGGCCGUUGCUGGGAAGGGCCUUCACGGGGUGUUUUCCAUUUGACUUGGUGGAAAAGGCUGCGAUCCCUUUGCUUCCUGCCUACCGAAAGCCGAGUUCAGGUACAGACCGUAUUACGAUCACCUGGCAAGCUGGAAGGAGGCCACCCCGGCUGAGAGGGAUGCUUCAGACUUCAGCAGGGAGGCCUGGCCCGCAGAAGACUCUCAGGAAGCACCCAAGACUUUUGCUCCACUGCAGCCCCCGGGGCCACCUCCCCCCUCCCCCUCCCCCUUGGAGAACAGCCCUAAUUCUCCCCCUGGCUUCCCUUGAAUCCAAAAGGGGCAGGGAGGCCAGAGGGGACUGGGUGGAUAAUCAGCAGCCAACUCCAGGGAGGGUUGCUUCUAUUUUAAAAGGGGUGGGGGCCCACUCUCGAACUUGCAACCAUUAAAAUUCCUGCUUUCCCCA